This 384-nucleotide ribosomal RNA is filed under the name uncultured bacterium. Its description in RNAcentral is "bacterial SSU rRNA". It matches the Rfam family "Bacterial small subunit ribosomal RNA", at positions 144 to 507 of the family's 1533-position model. The record is from RNAcentral.
UAGCUCGCCGAAAGGCGAAUUAAUACCGCAUACGGUGGGCCUCUUUCCUGAGAGACCACCGAAAUCGGGGGACCGCAAGGCCUGACGCUAGGAGAGGAGUUCGCGGCCUAUCAGCUAGUUGGCGAGGUAACGGCUCACCAAGGCUAAGACGGGUAGCUGAUCUGAGAGGAUGAUCAGCCACACUGGAACUGAGACACGGUCCAGGACACCUACGGGUGGCAGCAGUUUCGAAUCAUUCACAAUGGGCGAAAGCCUGAUGGUGCGACGCCGCGUGAGGGAUGAAGGUCUUCGGAUCGUAAACCUCUGUCACCGGGGAAGAAACGCUAUGCGAUAAUAUCGCCUAGCCUGACUUAACCCGGAGAGGAAGCAGUGGCUAACUCUGUG